This 528-nucleotide ribosomal RNA is filed under the name uncultured bacterium. RNAcentral describes it as "bacterial SSU rRNA". It matches the Rfam family "Bacterial small subunit ribosomal RNA", at positions 777 to 1304 of the family's 1533-position model. The record is from RNAcentral.
AAUAGAUACCCUGGUAGUCCAUGCCGUAAACGAUGUCUACUAGCCGUUGGGGCCUUUGAGGCUUUAGUGGCGCAGCUAACGCGAUAAGUAGACCGCCUGGGGAGUACGGUCGCAAGACUAAAACUCAAAUGAAUUGACGGGGGCCCGCACAAGCGGUGGAGCAUGUGGUUUAAUUCGAUGCAACGCGAAGAACCUUACCUGGUCUUGACAUAGUAAGAACUUUCCAGAGAUGGAUUGGUGCCUUCGGGAACUUACAUACAGGUGCUGCAUGGCUGUCGUCAGCUCGUGUCGUGAGAUGUUGGGUUAAGUCCCGCAACGAGCGCAACCCUUUUCCUUAUUUGCCAGCGGGUUAAGCCGGGAACUUUAAGGAUACUGCCAGUGACAAACUGGAGGAAGGCGGGGACGACGUCAAGUCAUCAUGGCCCUUACGACCAGGGCUACACGACGUGCUACAAUGGUCAGUCAAAGGGUUGCUACCUAGCGAUAGGAUGCUAAUCUCAAAAAGCCGAUCGUAGUCCGGAUUGGAGU